RNAcentral lists this ribosomal RNA (400 nucleotides) under uncultured bacterium. RNAcentral's name for it is "bacterial SSU rRNA". It matches the Rfam family "Bacterial small subunit ribosomal RNA", at positions 355 to 754 of the family's 1533-position model. The record is from RNAcentral.
UGAGGAAUAUUGGUCAAUGGGCGCAAGCCUGAACCAGCGACGCCGCGUGAGGGAUGAAGGGGCUUUGCCCUGUAAACCUCUGUCGAGUGGGAAAAAGGGGCUCUUAUGGAGUCCGGGAUUGUACCACUGGAGGAAGCACCGGCUAACUACGUGCCAGCAGCCGCGGUAAUACGUAGGGUGCAAACGUUGUCCGGAAUUACUGGGUGUAAAGGGUGCGCAGGCGGGUAGGUGCGUCAGAGGUUAAAUAUUUCGGCUCAACCGAAAAAAUGCCUUUGAUACGGCCUAUCUUGAGUACGAGAGAGGAUGAUAGAAUUCCUGGUGUAGCGGUGAAAUGCGUAGAUAUCAGGAGGAAUACCAGUGGCGAAGGCGGUCAUCUGGCUCGUAACUGACGCUUAGGCAC